UGCGCAGGCGGCGCGUUAAGUCAGUGGUGAAAUCCUCCCGCUCAACGGGAGAACUGCCAUUGAUACUGGCGUGCUUGAGUACGGACGAGGUAGGCGGAAUUUAUGGUGUAGCGGUGAAAUGCAUAGAUACCAUAAAGAACACCGAUAGCGAAGGCAGCUUACUAGACCGUAACUGACGCUCAUGCACGAAAGCGUGGGGAGCAAAUAGGAUUAGAUACCCUGGUAGUCC
This 229-nucleotide ribosomal RNA is filed under the name uncultured bacterium. Its description in RNAcentral is "partial 16S ribosomal RNA". It matches the Rfam family "Bacterial small subunit ribosomal RNA", at positions 568 to 796 of the family's 1533-position model. The record is from RNAcentral.